Molecule: long non-coding RNA, 1852 nt
Filed under: Mus musculus (house mouse)
Lineage: Eukaryota; Metazoa; Chordata; Mammalia; Rodentia; Muridae
Description: long non-coding RNA chr7:101754506-101756358
Source: RNAcentral
UUUGUGGGAAAAGCACUGCCUUAGCCUCCAUUGCCAACUGCCAGUUAGUAAGCCGAGCUGCCCCUCAGAGUUCAGGCCCUAUGUCAGUUGCAGUGACUCAGACUUGGAGGCCACUGAGAUCCUGGCCUCAGGUUGUGUCUGGCAAUAGGUCCCUCCUGGCUGUGACUUUUGUGAGUGUCUUAGGGUUUCUGUAGCUGUAAUGAAAAACACUGUAGUGACCAAAAUCAACAUGGGAAGGAAUGGGUUUAUUUUGUUCACAGUUCCAUCAAAAGCAAUGAGGGCAGGAACUCACACAGGACAAGAAUCCUAAGCCAGGAGCUGAUACACAGGCCAUGCUUACUGCCUGGCCCAGCCUGCUUUCUUAAAGACCCAGAAACACCAGCCCAAGUAUGGCACUGCCCACAAUGAGCUGGGCCCUCCCUCAUCAAUCAUUAAUUAUAAAAAUGCCUUACAGGCUUGCCUAUAGCCCAAUCUUUUUUUUAAGGUUUUAUUUAUUUUAUAUAUAUGACGAGUUCACUGUAGCUGUCUUCAGACACACCGGAAGAGGUCAUCGGAUCCCAUUACAGAUGUUUGUGAGCCACCAUGUGGUUGCUGAGAAUUGAACUCAGGACCCUUGGAAGAGCAGUCAGUGCUCUUUACCGCUGAGCCAUCCCUCCAGCCCCCUAUAGCCCAAUCUUAUGAAGGCAUUUUCUUAAUUGAGAUCCCUCCUCUCAGAUGACCUGUCCAGUUGACACAAACUGUCCAGCACAGUGUCACUACUGUGAUCUUAUCUUGCGCCCAUUCUGUUCCUCCUGUACUGCACUCCACCAAUACCCACGCCUCUUCCGCCUUGGAAGAGUGUUAGCAUCAUAAGUCUGCUUAUGGAAGGUUUGGGAGUAAGAUGGGGUGAAUUCAUGUUAUUUCACCUACUUAUAAAUGACAGCUCUGUGCUGGACUGUGGGCUAGAUAGCUGAAAACAGAUGAGUAAGUCACUCCAGGAGCUCACUGCCUGGCAAGAGGACAGGCAGAUGAAUCAGUGGUAUGACUAGUCAAGAAAGGCUUCCUGGAAGAGAGGUCAACUCCCAGCCCAGUCUCCCAUAAAAGUAUGCUAACCUGCCUGUGUAUACGUGCUAUUCCUAUGUCGUUCCUACCGUUACUGACCAUCGAGGCACAAUGUGUGCAUGCAUUUCCUUUCUCUAUUCCUGUAACAAACUCAUGCAGCUGCUCUUAAUACCUGUCCUGGGAAGCCCGACUAGGCAAGGAAGGAAGAUGUGACACACAGAAGCCAGGUUGUUGGUGAGGGUCUUAAGUGUGCCUCUGUGGUUCUGUAGUAACUCUUUCCAGACCAUAGCUAUAUCUCUUUACAUAGGUGCCCUUUCUGCCUAAACCUACUGGCAACCAUGUCUUAUAUGCCAACCCAGACUUCCACAAAUGUGACACGGGACUCAUGGCAUUGAAUUUUCUCCAUCUAUUACCGGAUGGCAAAUGGGAUGGUGACGGGCUAAAGGACAGGCUCUGCUGCCAUGUCUGUAUUGUGUCCUCAUCUGCCAGGCAUUUGUGUCACCUGCCUGACCAGAAGGUGAUUCUGAAAGCUCGCCCUCCCCAUACUAUUAGUGAUUCGCACAUGUUUAAAAUUAUCCAUAAGCCCGAUUUUUUUUUUUUACUUUAUUCCUCCUCUUAAAAUAUAUCAUUGACUCUCAGAAUCUGUCACCUUAAUUGGACGAAAUGAUUUUCCUGAAAUGACUUCUCAGGUUCUCUAGGUCUCAACAUUCCCCAGGCCUUGGUUUAUUUUACCUCCUAGGAAGAUCCAAAGUGAGAGAGACCCAGCCACUGACCCUAGCUUGCUGUCCUACUGUGGGAGACACAAGCAUUU